CGGCGAGUGAAGCGGCAACAGCUCAAAUUUGAAAUCUGGCCUUCUGGCCCGAGUUGUAAUUUGCAGAGGAUGUUUCUGGCAAGGUGCCUUCCGAGUUCCCUGGAACGGGACGCCAUAGAGGGUGAGAGCCCCGUCUGGUUGGUUACUGCGCCUCUGUGAAACUCCUUCGACGAGUCGAGUAGUUUGGGAAUGCUGCUCUAAAUGGGAGGUAUACGUCUUCUAAAGCUAAAUACCGGCCAGAGACCGAUAGCGCACAAGUAGAGUGAUCGAAAGAUGAAAAGCACUUUGAAAAGAGGGUUAAAAAGUACGUGAAAUUGUUGAAAGGGAAGCGCUUAUGACCAGACUUGGGCCGGUUGAUCAUCCACCGUUCUCGGUGGUGCACUCUGCCGGCUCAGGCCAGCAUCAGUUCGCUCCGGGGGAUAAAGGUAGCGGGAAUGUGACUCCUCCGGGAGUGUUAUAGCCCGCUGCGCAAUACCCUGGGGCGGACUGAGGUUCGCGUUCUGCAAGGAUGCUGGCGUAAUGGUCAUCAGUGACCCGUCUUGAAACACGGACCAAGGAGUCGUCUUCGUAUGCGAGUGUUCGGGUGUCAAACCCCUACGCGUAAUGAAAGUGAACGUAGGAGAGAGCUUCGGCGCAUCUCCGACCGAUCCUGAUGUUCUCGGAUGGAUUUGAGUAAGAGCAUACGGGGCCGGACCCGAAAGAAGGUGAACUAUGCCUGUAUAGGGUGAAGCCAGAGGAAACUCUGGUGGAGGCUCGCAGCGGUUCUGACGUGCAAAUCGAUCGUCAAAUAUGGGCAUGGGGGCGAAAGACUAAUCGAACCUUCUAGUAGCUGGUUUCCGCCGAAGU
RNAcentral lists this ribosomal RNA (846 nucleotides) under Protocreopsis freycinetiae. RNAcentral's name for it is "LSU rRNA". It matches the Rfam family "Eukaryotic large subunit ribosomal RNA", at positions 87 to 967 of the family's 3401-position model. Lineage: Eukaryota; Fungi; Ascomycota; Sordariomycetes; Hypocreales; Bionectriaceae. The record is from RNAcentral.